AUGGGCGAAAACUGUGAUAACCCCCCAAUUCUCUCCUCCAAGAAGCGCUGCAGCUGCAAGCGUGAUUCCAGCUCCGAUCCGUGGCGGGAUGUGGAGCGUCUCCGCGCGGCGUUAGAGGUGGAGCGCAGCCGCAACCAGCAGGCCCACCGGCGCUUCUCUCUGGAGCUGCGGAGGCAACGUGAGGAGACGCGCGAGGAGCGGGAGCGAGCGCUGAGGGAGCUGACCUACCGACACGAGCAGCAGAAGACGCUGGAGCUGCUGAGGCAGCGGGAAGCUCUGGGCCGGGAGCGUGCGGCGGAGGUUCGGCGUCUGUUACGCUGGCGGAGUCAGGAGUUGAAACGUACAGAGAAGUUGACGCUCAGGCAAACCCAAGAAGUGCAUCGUCAGCUAGCGGAUGAGAUCGCUGGUAGAUCGGCAUUUCAAGGUCUCAAACUUGGAUGUAAGGGCAACGGGGCGGCGUAUCGCAAACUCGAGGAACUCUUAAAGACUCUGCUUGCUCAGUCAGAUGGACGGCAGGUCGCUGUCCUUCAGCGUCUCCAGCAGGAAGUGGAAUUAGAGAAGAGCUACUUCCUGUUCCACCUACUGGAAGCCCAUAGCGGGACGUCCCGCGUCUUGAAACGAUCCAGACCGAGGUCGAAAAGUUGCUAUUUUCAUUUUUCCUUUCUCUCUUCUCUUCUCUUCUUCUCUUCUUCUCCUUCUCCUUCUCCUUCUCCUUCUCCUUCUCCUUCUCCUUCUCCUUCUCCUUCUCCUCUCCUCUCCUCUCCUCUCCUCUCCUCACAUUCAUUGGUCUCUCCAAGAGUUAAAUUUGUUAAUUAUUUUGUUGUAUGUAUGUACAUACCACCAAAAAGUUGCACAGGCAAUCAAGCAGAGAAAGUGAAGAGGUUGAGGAAGAAGAACACCGAACUCGCUGUCAUCGCCAAACGUUUGGAGGAGAGAGCGCGGAAACUACAGGAAGCCAACCUGAAAGUGGUAAAUACUCCGAUGCCAGUGAAAGCGGGCGCUGUGGAGCAGUACAAGCGUGCGUUUGCCCGUCAGAGAGCCAGAGACCUGGCGCAGCACGCAGACACACUGCUGUGUAAAGACAAACAGAUCGCAGCGCUGCAGCAGGAGUGCAGACAGCUGGAGACACGGCUGGGACAGGGGAAGGUACACAAACACACACCAGGUCCUGUGGGAGUCAGUGAGUUUGAGCGUCUCCUGAAGGAGUCUCAGAAGGAGGUGUUGCGUCUGCAGAGGCAGCUGUCUGUCACCUCCACCAGAGACCAGAGCAGUGUGACGGCAGAAAACCCUUCAGAGAAUCAGGGCCGAGACAGCAGGGUGAGAGCAAAAACACGCCCAUGUUUCCCAACACUGAGCAAAAACAUCAGCAUCUCUGAUUUGUCUCUGCAUAUUAAACUGGGAGAGCAUCUUAACAUCGAUCAAAUAACACGCUUUAAAUGGAGGCUUGUUUUAUUUUCUAAAUGCAGUUACAAUCCCUAUGAUGGUCCUAAUGAUAACCCAGAGGUCGAGUUGCCCCUCACAGCAGGAGAGUACAUUUACGUCUACGGAGACAUGGAUGAUGAUGGCUUUUAUGAGGGCGAGCUGAUGGACGGCAGAAGAGGCCUCGUUCCCUCCAACUUUGUGGAGCCGCUAAUCAAGCAGUUAGCCAAGAGUGUCAUCAUCGGCUGGGAGUCUCCGCUGGUCCCGGCCGGCUGGGGUUCUGUGUUUAGCUAUAAUGUCUACAUAGACCAUGAGUUGCGACACAACGUGCCAUUUGGUACCCAAACGAAGGCUGUUCUGGAGAGGCUAGAUUUGGCACAGAAGGCGUAUCGGAUUGCGGUGCAGUGCCUCACGGAGCGAGGCAACUCGGAUCAGCUGCGUUGCAGUAUACUAGUCGGACGGGACGUGAACGUAGCGCCGACUCACCUGUGCGUUGAACGCAUAACGGCUACCUCGGCCAGCCUAACCUGGCUGCCUAGCAACAGUAACUAUGUGCACAUUGUGUCUUUAAACGACGAGGAGUGUGAGCUGGUAAAGGCGGGAUGCUAUUCACUGUGCCUCAGCAACCUCACACCCAACAUGCAUUACAACGUUAAAGUGGAGGCCAGGCCGCACCGCACAGCCUGGGAACUACCGCCGGAGUGCCGAGAACGCAAAACCGCAGUGACCUCUUUCACAACCCAGACUGCAGGUCCUCCUGAUGCUCCUCUGGAUGUGCAGUUGGAGCAGGGCCCAUCUCCGGGAAUAGCUCAGAUCAGCUGGCUGCCCGUUACUAUAGAUGCUGCUGGGACGUCCAAUGGUGUACGAGUCACUGGCUACACCAUCUACGCUGACAAGAAGAAGGUAUUAGAGGUGUCGUCACCCACAGCAGGCAGCGCUCUGAUUGGUCCAUCUCAGAUCCAAACAUUACAGGCGGCCCGUGAGCUCACCGUGCGGACCAUGUCAGCUUUUGGUGAGUCAGUGGACUCAUUGCCGGUGAAUGUGCCCGCCAAAUUGCCUGCCAUCAUGUCCGGUGCCUCAUUGCCUCAAUGCCAGUCUGUGCCAGCCACCGCCAGUGUCCUCACGGCCAGUGCCAACCCAGAUCCUGCUGUCUAUGCCACAUCUCUCUCACCUGCCAAAUUGCCCAUUCUGCCACAUGCUGCUACACUGGAUGAACACACCACUGGUCCUGUUCGGGGAGUCUUUGUCAAUACACCCAAUGCAACCACACGUGAGGAGUCUCCGUCUCCUGCUUCCUAUGUAGAAGCCUGGCUAAUAAAGCACCUCCAUCAACAGGUGAGUGUAUCUACACGCAUGGUUACACCUGCACCCGUGGUCGUGCCUGUGCCUGUUGCUACUCCAACAUCCAUGGCCGUACCUGCUCCCUUGACCACACCAGGACCCAUGCCCACACCAGUGUCCAUGACAGUGCCAGGUCCUGUAGUUCUGCCGGCACCUGCCACCAUGCCUGUGCCCAUGGCUGCGCCCAUACCUGCACCUACACAUGCACCUAUUGUUGAACCUGCAUCAGUGCCAGUGCAGUCUAGUGUGGCUCCUGCUGUGCAGAACCCAAGCAGAGAGACAGACAGCCCAGGAGGCCUGCGUCCUGUUGCCUCCCUCUCCGACUUCUUGGAGGACCCACGUGCCAAACUUCACACACCACCACCACCCAGUUCCACCUGCCCCAAAGUCAACAUCCCAGGAAAGGACCCUCUCGAUAUCCCAGAUACACACCCACUGAGGCCUCCCAAUCCGUCACCCUUUGAGUCAGAGCCCGAGGAGGACAGGGAGAACACCAGGCUCAUAUCCAUAGAGGAGUUCCUGCGACCUGUACCUCAACCUCGAAUAAAGGCCAGUUUCCAAACCAAAUCUGAAGACCAUGUGUAUCCUUGUGCAGUUGUUAUCAUUUUGGACUGCACUCAUUUUAUUAUCUUACCAUUGCCUUCAGAGCUAAUCUUCCUUCCUUCAUAA
Molecule: long non-coding RNA, 3429 nt
Filed under: Sinocyclocheilus anshuiensis
Lineage: Eukaryota; Metazoa; Chordata; Actinopteri; Cypriniformes; Cyprinidae
Description: lncRNA (ENSSANG00000035827.1)
Source: RNAcentral